This 145-nucleotide unclassified non-coding RNA is filed under the name soil metagenome. Its description in RNAcentral is "partial internal transcribed spacer 1". The record is from RNAcentral.
UAAUAAGUGUUUUAUGGCACUUUUUUAAAUCCAUAUCCACCUUGUGUGCAAUGUCAGUCGAUCUUCUUCAUGGAGAUCGACCAAACAUCAACCUUAUCUUUAACUCUUUGUCUGAAAAAUAUUAUGAAUAAACAAUUCAAAAUAC